AACGAACGCUGGCGGCAGGCCUAACACAUGCCAGUCGAGCGAGAUCUUCGGGUCUAGCGGCGGACGGGUGAGUAACGCGUGGGAAUAUGCCCUUCUCUGCGGAAUAGCCUCGGGAAACUGAGCGUAAUACCGCAUACGCCCUUUGGGGGAAAGAUUUAUCGGAGAAGGAUUAGCCCGCGUUGGAUUAGGUAGUUGGUGGGGUAACGGCCUACCAAGCCGACGAUCCAUAGCUGGUUUGAGAGGAUGAUCAGCCACACUGGGACUGAGACACGGCCCAGACUCCUACGGGAGGCAGCAGUGGGGAAUCUUAGACAAUGGGGGCAACCCUGAUCUAGCCAUGCCGCGUGAGUGAUGAAGGCCUUAGGGUUGUAAAGCUCUUUCAGCUGGGAAGAUAAUGACGGUACCAGCAGAAGAAGCCCCGGCUAACUCCGUG
This 433-nucleotide ribosomal RNA is filed under the name uncultured bacterium. RNAcentral's name for it is "partial 16S ribosomal RNA". It matches the Rfam family "Bacterial small subunit ribosomal RNA", at positions 29 to 507 of the family's 1533-position model. The record is from RNAcentral.